Molecule: ribosomal RNA, 435 nt
Filed under: Triticum aestivum (bread wheat)
Lineage: Eukaryota; Viridiplantae; Streptophyta; Magnoliopsida; Poales; Poaceae
Description: partial small subunit ribosomal RNA
Source: RNAcentral
AUGAUGGUUAGUUGUAAAUACUCAAAAUUUUGUGAAGCCUUGAAGUGCAAGGAGCUCUUUGAUCGGAGACAGGCAAUGGGAGGUCUCUGUUUAUCAAAUGCUGGAGUGCAGUGUUGUUGCCUUUUCUCUGUUUUACAUGGCCGCUCAAAAUAUCAGAUUGGUUACAGAUAUGGCCUUUUGCAGGGAGCUGCUGCUCGGGGAUUCCUCAGAAUCCUUCAUCAUAUCUUCCGAGCCUUGAAGUGCUAUGGAGCUCUUCGAUUGGAGGCGGACGAUGGGAGGUCCCUGUUUGUUGAGUUCUGGAGUGAAAUGUUGUUGCUUUUUCUCUGUAACAUUUGUUCUUCUAUUGUGUUCUUGUGGAGUUCAGGUGAGUAUUUCACCUGGGCUGCCUACAAAAACGGCGUCAGAAGCUCAUUAGUUUUUGGAUUGAUUGAAUAA